AUCCAGCUGACGAGUCGGAAAUAGGACGAAACGUGCGUCAAACUGGAU
Schistosoma mansoni is the source of this 48-nucleotide non-coding RNA. NCBI's taxonomy places the organism in Eukaryota, Metazoa, Platyhelminthes, Trematoda, Strigeidida, Schistosomatidae. The record is from Rfam.